GAUGAACGCUAGCUACAGGCUUAACACAUGCAAGUCGAGGGGCAUCAGGAAGAAAGCUUGCUUUCUUUGCCGGCGACCGGCGCACGGGUGAGUAACACGUAUCCAACCUGCCCUUUACUCGGGGAUAGCCUUUCGAAAGAAAGAUUAAUACCCGAUAGCAUAAUGAUUCCGCAUGGUUUCAUUAUUAAAGGAUUCCGGUAAAGGAUGGGGAUGCGUUCCAUUAGGUUGUUGGUGGGGUAACGGCCCACCAAGCCUUCGAUGGAUAGGGGUUCUGAGAGGAAGGUCCCCCACAUUGGAACUGAGACACGGUCCAAACUCCUACGGGAGGCAGCAGUGAGGAAUAUUGGUCAAUGGGCGCUAGCCUGAACCAGCCAAGUAGCGUGAAGGAUGAAGGCUCUAUGGGUCGUAAACUUCUUUUAUAUAAGAAUAAAGUGCAGUAUGUAUACUGUUUUGUAUGUAUUAUAUGAAUAAGGAUCGGCUAACUCCGUGCCAGCAGCCGCGGUAAUACGGAGGAUCCGAGCGUUAUCCGGAUUUAUUGGGUUUAAAGGGAGCGUAGGUGGACUGGUAAGUCAGUUGUGAAAGUUUGCGGCUCAACCGUAAAAUUGCAGUUGAUACUGUCAGUCUUGAGUACAGUAGAGGUGGGCGGAAUUCGUGGUGUAGCGGUGAAAUGCUUAGAUAUCACGAAGAACUCCGAUUGCGAAGGCAGCUCACUGGACUGCAACUGACACUGAUGCUCGAAAGUGUGGGUAUCAAACAGGAUUAGAUACCCUGGUAGUCCACACAGUAAACGAUGAAUACUCGCUGUUUGCGAUAUACAGUAAGCGGCCAAGCGAAAGCAUUAAGUAUUCCACCUGGGGAGUACGCCGGCAACGGUGAAACUCAAAGGAAUUGACGGGGGCCCGCACAAGCGGAGGAACAUGUGGUUUAAUUCGAUGAUACGCGAGGAACCUUACCCGGGCUUAAAUUGCAGUGGAAUGAUGUGGAAACAUGUCAGUGAGCAAUCACCGCUGUGAAGGUGCUGCAUGGUUGUCGUCAGCUCGUGCCGUGAGGUGUCGGCUUAAGUGCCAUAACGAGCGCAACCCUUAUCUUCAGUUACUAACAGGUCAUGCUGAGGACUCUGGAGAGACUGCCGUCGUUAGAUGUGAGGAAGGUGGGGAUGACGUCAAAUCAGCACGGCCCUUACGUCCGGGGCUACACACGUGUUACAAUGGGGGGUACAGAAGGCAGCUAGCGGGUGACCGUAUGCUAAUCCCAAAAGCCUCUCUCAGUUCGGAUCGAAGUCUGCAACCCGACUUCGUGAAGCUGGAUUCGCUAGUAAUCGCGCAUCAGCCACGGCGCGGUGAAUACGUUCCUGGGCCU
Molecule: ribosomal RNA, 1359 nt
Filed under: uncultured bacterium
Lineage: Bacteria
Description: bacterial SSU rRNA
Rfam family: Bacterial small subunit ribosomal RNA
Source: RNAcentral